AGCUUUGCACAGUGGCAGUAUCGUAGUCAUCUGAGGCGUAGGUUUAUCUGGGGCACAAUUGUUGCUAAUUGAAAACUUUUCCCAAUACCCCGCCAUGACGAUUGGAAAUAUAGUCGGCACUGGCAAGUUUUCGCAGUCUCUACGGGGA
Callithrix jacchus (white-tufted-ear marmoset) is the source of this 148-nucleotide small nuclear RNA. Its record names the gene U4. It matches the Rfam family "U4 spliceosomal RNA". From Rfam's summary of the family: U4 small nuclear RNA (U4 snRNA) is a component of the major U2-dependent spliceosome. The structure of U4 snRNA from yeast and human has been reported. The record is from Ensembl. NCBI's taxonomy places the organism in Eukaryota, Metazoa, Chordata, Mammalia, Primates, Cebidae.